GAGUAACAAGCAAAGAACUCUCACUUGAUCCAAACAAGGCUCUAGAGAGUGGUGGAUGCACACUUAAACUCAUGGAACUCACUAGAGAAGGAUUUACUCAAGAAAUCACUCAAUUCUCAAUCCUCUCUAGGCUCUUGCUUCUCUCUUGCACCACAAGGUGUUUCUCAGCUGAUCAAAUGGGCAAGAGAUCUCCCAUGGAUG
RNAcentral lists this long non-coding RNA (201 nucleotides) under Sorghum bicolor (sorghum). RNAcentral's name for it is "long non-coding RNA (SBIC_LNC015012)". The record is from RNAcentral. Lineage: Eukaryota; Viridiplantae; Streptophyta; Magnoliopsida; Poales; Poaceae.